CUGAGUCUUGGAGUGUCGGCUUGAGACUGACUGAUCUUGAGAUGUGAGACGAGUCCCGUGGGUACGAGACCAUUAUGCCUUGGGCCAUCAAAUCUUGUAAUUUCGUAUUGGGCCUAUUGCUGUCAACGAUUUGGUAAUGAGCAAAACCUUCACGAGUCUUUAGCUUUCUUGAUCAGGGCGGUUAUCUAGUGAGAACGCUUAUGUGCGAACGUUAUAUGAGAACCCAAUCCAGCCAUCCAAAUUAUCUGAACGGCUAAAGAGAAAAAGCAAGCUUACGGUAAAAACGGGUAGGCUGCAGUUCUCCUUAGCCCAAGUGUCAAGUCACGCCUGUUUCGAAAGAACACGCCUUUCUUCUUCCUGACAGUCGCCAGUCGCACCUUUCUUGUCAAUAAAUUGAUGAAUUGAUGAAUUUAUGAAUCAACCCUAAACACCCAAAAUACCUACCAGACAUAAAUUUGUGUAUUUCUCUUGUCGCAAAAGCUCCCUAGUGUACUCUGUCUCUU
Molecule: long non-coding RNA, 503 nt
Filed under: Prunus persica (peach)
Lineage: Eukaryota; Viridiplantae; Streptophyta; Magnoliopsida; Rosales; Rosaceae
Description: long non-coding RNA (PPER_LNC004773)
Source: RNAcentral